CUCAUUUGAUCCUCGCCACAGUCCUGGGAGUCUAUUAUCCAGCUGGAAUUCACUGUGGUAUUUGAUAUAUUGGACAGUGGCUCAGGAAUGGGAUCUGCCGAUUCUUUCAGAGCACAAAGACGGAGUUCAUCUGAGCCAGAUGGCUUGAAUUCAUCAAGGGCAGGGCAUUAUGAGAUCUCAAAAGGCAACUGGAAUCUUGCCCUCUUCCUGGGUACCUGAGUAACGGACUACCAGAGCAGUUGCAGCAGCAACAGAAGGUCUGCCAUCUUGCUUCUCAACUCUCCAAACAGGACCACCAGAAACCAUGCUUGGAAGGAGCUAAGACUCUGAGUUCUGUACUUCCUGAGACCAUGGGCUCCUCAUUUUCUCUCCUGGUCAUUUUGAACCCUGCCGCAGUCAGUGUACCUCCCUAUCCCCAACUCCUCACUUCUGUAUUCCCUACUUCUUUCUCUGAGAAUUGCAAUAAAAGCACUAUUACCAAUUCCUCUGGAAAGGGUGCAUUAACGGACUACACUCUUGUUCCACUCACCAUCUUCGUGACUUUUCAAACCAUAACUCCCUUUCCUGGCCACCACUUACCUAAAUGUGUUGUU
This is a long non-coding RNA of Phascolarctos cinereus (koala), 593 nucleotides long. RefSeq lists it as uncharacterized. NCBI's taxonomy places the organism in Eukaryota, Metazoa, Chordata, Mammalia, Diprotodontia, Phascolarctidae. The record is from RefSeq and is a predicted model, not a curated record.